This 43-nucleotide ribosomal RNA is filed under the name Inocybe oblectabilis. RNAcentral's name for it is "partial 18S ribosomal RNA". The record is from RNAcentral. Lineage: Eukaryota; Fungi; Basidiomycota; Agaricomycetes; Agaricales; Inocybaceae.
CGUAACCAGGUCUUCCGUAGGUGAACCUGCGGAGGGAUCAUUA